GCACUUUUUAAUGGAGCGCUAAUAUAGGGUUUUUAGUACCAGCGCUCCUUGUAGGAGCGCUGGUAUAUGGUGGUUAGUACCAGCGCUUUGUUUAGGAGCGCUGGUAUAGUGUCAAUAGCCCUCUAUCCCACUUUUUCCCUUCCCUCCUUUUUUUUUUUUUUUUUUACCUCCCUCCAUUUUUUUCCCUCCGUUGAUUUUGGGCCCUAAACUACGCCAUUUUUGGGGGCCAAUUAACAUUGAAUUCCACUUACCUAUUUCAUUUUGCAAUAGCGCUAACACCUUCAGCCUCUCUCUCUCCUUCCAUCAUAGCUCUGUCGCCCUUCCAUCACUAGUCUCGCCCUUCCAUCACCGAUCAUCACAGCUCUCUCUCCUUUCAUCACCAGUCAGCGUUCCAAAAUUGGUGGCUUAGUUUAGAAAGACAAAGUCAUUGCUACUGCACACACAGAGAGAGAAAGAGUUGUCCUUGGGGGUUUCCAAAACCUCGUCUACACUAACAAAUAGGACGAGAAUUUUUUUAGCUUUGUUUGUGCAGAGUUGGCAGACGACUCUUCGCGAAAGCCCUAGCUCCUUGCCCCCGACCACUGGACAUCGCGAAGCCUUGGAUAGCUCCUUACCUCCUUCUUACAGCUUACUGAAGUCUAAACAAGUGUGACCACUAUAAUUCAGCCUUUGUCCCAAUUUCCUUCGCAUUAGCAAUCAAGAAGGGGAUAACUCGCAUUUGAUUGGCUAAUAUUCUUUGAAGGAAGGAUAAAUAAUAAGCUGACAAUGAAACGAACGGUUAGUGAAGUGGAAAAAGUAAGUGAACAAAAUACCGAAGUUUCAACUUCAAAAUCAUCCCAACCACCACCGAAGAAGAGACGGGGCCCAACAUGAUGCAAGAAUGUCGUAAACACGACAACCUUAUUACCAUUAAGGGUUAAUAAGUUUGGAUAACCGAUCGGCCUUGGAAGUGGUACGUAUACUAAUUAUUUGGGAACACUUGCCCGGAGUGCUAAAUUAACUCCUUUGUGCUACAAAACUUGGUGGGAGAUGCCUAAAUGGCUGAAGGAGGAUAUGUGGAACAUUGUAAAGGGGAAGUAUGAUAUGGGAAUCAUGUCAAAACAUUGGACAUUAUCCUCCAUCGGAAAAAAAUGGAGGGGUACAAGUGUGAAUUAAAAAGUGAAUAUUACUCGGUUAGGGAUACAGAUGUAGAAAGAUUGGCAAACCCACCACUUGUGUUGAAAAGGAGCAUUGGGAAUUUUUGGUUAGGCAUCGGGGUACGCCUAUGGCGAAGAAGGUCAGCGAAAAAAAUAAAGAACGUCGUGGGAAGCAAACAAUGAUGCAUACUACAGGGACAAAAAGCUUUGCAUGUGUUUCUGCCGAGAUUGAGGAAACGAAGGUAUUCAGCUUUCUCGUGCAGAUUUAUUCAUUCGUACACAUAUAAAUAAGGAUGGCAAAGCUACUGACGCUGCUGCUUCGGAGAUGAUUGUAAGUUUUCAUGCUUCCAUUUUGCAAAAAGGGGGUCACAUGCCUUGAAGUGACCAAUUUUUAAACUCUUUGCGGUGUAUUAGGGGGUCACAUGCCUUGAAGUGACCAAUUUUUAAAUCAUCAGCCCGUGUGGAGGCAUUUUAAUUUCAUUGUUUAUCAUCGGCCCGUGUGGAGGUAAUUUACUUUCUUAUAUUUGUUGAAAAGCAUGGGAGUAUGGGAUCAUUGUAUGUGGAGGCUUUUUGUUGAUUGAUUUGUGUUGUGGAGGAGAAGUAUUUGUUAUUAAUCUUAAAGGGAUAAUGAGAAUUAGUUUCUCUUGAAGAGAAAAAUAAGACAAAAUAAUCCCUUGUAAUGGAAACUAGCUGUUUGUUAGGUUUAAAUUUCUGGGUUUACCUUGUAAUGGAAAUUUUAUAUUGAUCAUUUUGUGAGCCUUCGUUUGUAAUGAUGCUUUGACUUUCUUCAUUGACCUCAAUUUUUUUUCCUUCUCUCUUCUGAAAAGAAUUUGGAUUAGUGUUUUUUACAUGGUUAUUAGCUCUGUUUGAGUGCUUGAAGUUCAUUCCAUCUCAUCUGCUUGGUGUUGCUAGGAUUCCUAGCUGAUUAGCUUUUGGUGUAAUUCAUUACAUCACCACUGGUUGAAAUUCUCUCCUAUAGGUUUAUCAAUGGCAGGUCAAAAUCUCUAAGCUCUAUGUAACACUGCAUCUUAGACAAAUAAUUGCAGCAACAAAGUUCAGCUGAGUGCCAAUGCAAUAGCAUUGUAGACUUUUUGUAAAACUUUCCCCACAAUGUGGUGUCAUCCAUCAUCGAAUUCUUAAUAAAAACAGGUCAAUUCGAAAUAUGGAAAAGGAAAACAAGAAAAAAGAAAAAAAAAAUUCCCCCAUUGGCUAGUAUGAUAUUUAAGUAUUAACAAAAGAUUUCAUUUCAUUCAGAAUUCUUUUCACAUAACACCUAAAUCACAAUGACAUGAUUUGAAUUCAGUACAUGUCCAAAAUGACCAUUACAUUCCAAGGACUUUUGGUAACAUCAUAGUGUGAUAGUCUCUACGCAAAAGUACUGUGCAAAAAAUUUCGUUCAUUUCACACUGUAAUCUUUACCAGUGAACUUAUUUAACCUCAUUGACAAAAAGUCGGUCAAGUAACGUGCUAUUUCCAAUUUCUGAUAUGAGGCAGCAUGCUUAAGAUUGAUUCUCAUGCCUCAUUGCUCUUAAAAUGGGAUUUUCAUCAUCUAAUAAGUUGUCUUCAUCAUCAAGUUCAUCCAGAUCAUUCAUUAUUGACUGGUUGGUUUUCUUACGAGAUUGUCUCCGAUGCUUCUUAGUCUCUAACCUUGGUUCAGCUUGCAUGACGCCCAUAUCUCCCGCCUUUUACCAGCAAAGAGAGUUCAGUUCAAGUUUAAAACCAAGGAAAUGGAGUACACAAUAAAGGGAAAUGAAUAAAUACAGGCCUUUACUCAGGGAGAUAGACCAAAAUUGGAGAUUGAUUGAAUAACAAGGCAUGGGCUUGUGUGACCAUGUGAAUAGGAAACCGAAAAAAUAAAAAUAUAAUAUAAUAUAAUAAAUUCUAAUUCUAACAUUUAAGAAGGGCUCGAAUACUCAACCUCCCCUUUGAGGGGAGAGAUUAUACCCAUUGGUGGAGGGAUUUAUUUGAUAGACUUAACCUUUAACAUUAUCUGCAAAAAUAACCAACCUCAUACUCAAACCUAGAUUUUCUCAUGCUUGAGAGCAAAACGUUUUACCAUUGCAUUGGCCCUAGUAACAUGGGGAACUAGAAACUAAACAUAGAACAACGGAAAAAGAAAAUAAAGAUGCUAGAAUUGUGACAACCUUUUAAGUACGGCAAAGGACUGAAAUAUAAGAAGAGACAUGAAAAUAUAGUAGACAAAGAUUUACAACUUCUUUGGCAUAACUAGAUCAGAAUGAUAAAAACAAAGUUGUGAAAAACUUCUGUAAGCAAAUAUAUUAUCUGGAAAUGAUAAGCUACUUUUAGAAUUUAGUUACAAUAUGUACAACUAAAUUCUGGUAUGCUGAAUGUGGUUUCAAAUGAUACGGAAAAUUUAGUUAGGAAACCAGCAAAAUUUUCCAUGAGAAAGAAGUAACAUGAUUUUGUUCAUUGUUAUUAAAAUCACAACCCAAUCCAAUGUUUAUGUUUAUGUCACCUAUGAUACUCGUGGCUGCAACUGUUUUUCGUUUUCCUUUUCUUUUAUGGGGUGUUUAUUGUGCUAAUUAGUAUUUAAGCAUAUUUUCUUUUCUCAUUUAAACUUAGUGUUUAAAUUUAAUUGAGAAUUUGGCUAUGGAAAUUCUCUUUCAUGUCUCAAUUUCAUAAAAAUGAUAGGAACUUGGACUCUUUCUGACUAUUCAUGAUGUUAACAGUUGGACAAGUAGUUAAAUUUUUGUUGCCCACACUACAACAGUUCUGGCUUUUACCAGCGCUCAAAAGCACUGGUAAAAGUCUUAAAAAGCGCUGGUAAGCGCUUUUGAAAAAGUCUUGCUCUUUUCAAAAGCACUGGUUUUUAAAAUUGUUCCAAGGAGUCCUAAGUAUAUCUAAAACCAUCCCAAAUCCUUACUUAAGUCAAUUUGCAUCAAAUUAAAACUUAAAACAUUUACCGAUCCAACAUGCUUAAAAAGAGCAAGCACUGCAACCAAACCAAACUUGCAUGAACUGUAACAAAAUUAAUUCACGCCUACAUACAGAUAAUUGAUUAAACAAAUACUAAGCAUCUAAGAUUCAAUUUAUUAGUCCAUUAAAGCCCUAGAGACUAUCUACAGAUGCACAGAACACAGGCAACGGGAGAGAGAAAGGAAAGAACUUGCCUUUGCGGUUUUGGAAUCAAAACCUUGUCGCCGUCUUCCUAGGUUUUUUUUUCCGGCGAUCAUGACUGCCGUCAAGCCUCCUACUGCUCAACCUUCCCUUCUCCUAUGACUAAUCCUAUAUCCACAGUUGAAACCCUCACCAAAGAUGGUAUGUUAUUAUCUCACAAUUUAUGCUCUGUUCCUCUCUAUCUCUAUGGUACGUGAAAAAGGUUUACAUAUAUAUAUUUUUUAAAACCUUAAGUCAACAUAAUGAUAUAUUUAUAGGUUUAGAAAAACUAAAACCCUAAUUCUAAUUUUAAUCCGAGAAAGAAAAACAACCAUAAAAGUUAUAAUGUAAGUCGGCUAAAAACGUGAGAAUAUAUGUAACCCUAAAAUUAUAACCUAUAUUAAAUUAUGAUUAAUACCUCAAGUUUAAUUAUUAAUAAAUACCAAUAAUUAAAACUAACUCUAUAUACAUAUAUACCCAUAUAUAUACAUGUAUAUACUUCCAUGGGUAAAACGGUACCCAUUUACACUAUCCAAAUAGUCCGUUAAUCAUAUCCAAGCCUAAGUUCGAUUAAAAAUAAAAUAAAAUAAAAACAAUACAUUUAAUUUAACAUUCAAAUGCCACUUCAUCACGCACACUUAUAAUUAAAUAGUUAAUUUAUUUAAACAACAAAACAGGAAGUCACGUAACAAAAGUCAUGAAAACACCUAAGAAUAAUAAAAUAAAAAUAAAAUUCCAAUUAUGUCCUUUUUAAAUUUAGGGGUAUUACAUUUGACCCUUGACCUCAUGUCAUUCACGUCAAAUAGAUUACGAAAAGUGUACUUAUGUACACAUUAUAUAUUUAGACACUACAACAGUUUUGGCUUUUACCAGCGCUUAAAAGCACUGGUAAAAGUCUUAAAAAGCGCUGGUAAAGCCAGUGUCGGUAGGCCUUUACCAGCGCUUUUUCAAGAAGCGCUGGUAAAGGCCUUUUACCAGCGCUUUUCCAAAAGCACUGGUAAAGGCCUUUUACCAGCGCUUUUCCAAAAAGCGCUGGCAUACCAGUGCUUUUCCAGAAAGCGCUUGUAAAGGGGCAUUUAAUUUUUUUUUUUCCUCCCCCCCUAUGCCAGUGCUCUUUUAAGAGCACUGGUAAAAGGUCAUUUUAAUUUAUUUUUUUCCCCCUUUAUUGUUUUUGGAAAAAAAUAUCUUUACGGCUAAUAAAUAUCAUCAAGUCAAUAUAAAAAUACCAUCCAAAUUGUUUUUACAUAAUACAACCACAAGUCAACCUACUGCCAAUAUGAAAAAUACCAUCAAAAUUGGUUACUAAUAGAUAAAGCUGGUAAAUGUCAACCAAAAAGGCAAAAUGUAUACUAAUACGACCCCAAGUUAACCAGCCAAUAUGAAAAUACCAUCCAAAUUGUCUAGAUAAAGCUACUAAAUGUCACGCAAAAAGAAUUAAGAAUUUUUGACAAAUGUAGUACAAGUUUAUCAAAAAGAACCCAUCCAAGGCAAAGGAAAUUUAGAAAGCACAGCCACGACCCCAUCUUUAGCUUCAACUUCAAAAACUCUUCUUGCUCAUUUGAUUUGAAUUACCCUACAUUUUUUAUAAAUUCAUUAAGCGCACAUUAUAAUAAAUGAAAAUUUAACAUAUAAGAGAAAUUAAAAGUUCAUAACCUUAACUGAAUUGGCAUCACGACUAGAAAAUGAAUUUGGGGAUACUCUAGGAGGAGCAUUUAAAGAAUCAGAGCCUUUCAAAAUAACAAAACAAAAUACAUGAAAUCUUGGCAUAAGUAAACAUAUAUUUAGUAAAGAGUAAAACUAAUAAUAUAUAUACCUGUCCACUACAAUUUUGUGGUUGCAUCUGCAUUAGCAUAGCCAUCUGUUGUUGUAAAUUUUCCAACUUGUCGUCAUAGUUGGCUCGUAAAUUUUCCAACUUGUUAUCAUAAUCGGCUUGCUUUUUUGAAAUCGUCUCCUGUAACUCUACACGUGCAGCACGUGCCUCCUCAUCAGAUUUUUUUGCUUUAUUAAUUAGUUCAGCUUUACUAGGAGAAGGCCCCCAAACAUCGCUUGGUGUAGGCCCGAAGCCAAGCAUCCGCACACGACCAGUUCUUUCUUCUCCCCUCACAACGGAGAACAAAUCAUUGGAACUGCCAAUAGGAGAGUCAGAGUAACUUUUUUGAAGUUCUUUUAUAUUUUCUUGCAAAAAAAAAAAAAAAAAAAAAAAAAAAAAAAAAUGAAGAAGAAUAAUGAAUGUAUAAAAAAUAAAUUAAAUAGAAUGCUUCGUGUCCAACAUUUGGGUAGUAUAUUUGACUUUUAGAAUGGAGGGAGAUUUUGGAGUACUGUGAAAGAGCAGCGGUGAAAAAUGGACUCAAUUUUUUAAAUUUCUAGUCCAAAUGCAAGAAAUUGAGAUUUUUCAGCUAUAUAAAAGGUUAAAGUCCAUAGUUAAUUACUCCAUUUUUAAAAGACUAAUGAUUUGGCACUACAACAUAUUAGGUUUUUACCAGCGCUUCUAAAAAAAGCGCUGGUAUAGGUCUAAUAUUACCAGCGCUUUUAAAAAAAGCGCUGGUAUAGGUGUAAUGGUACCAGCGCUUUUCCUAGGAGCGCUGGUUUUUAAAAGCACUGGUAGAGGUGUAAUGGUACCAGCGCUUUUCCUAGGAGUGCUGGUAUAGGUGUAAUCGUAACAAUGCUUUUUUUAAAAGCGUUAGUAUAGGUGUAAUCGUACCAGCGCUCUUUGUAGGAGCGUUGGUAUAGGUGUAAUAGUACCAGCGCUUUUUGUAGGAGCGCUGGUAUAGGUGUCCCCAUUUUUCCACUUCCCUCCAUUUUUUUUCCCUUCACUCCAUUUUUUCCCUCCGUUGAUUUAUAUAUAGAAUAUUUGGGCCCUAAAACUACGUCGUUUUGUAUGGAAUUAACAUUGUAUUCUCCACUUUCCCAUUUUAUUUUGCAAUAGCCCUAAUCCUUUCAUUUUGCAACAGCCCUAAUCCUUCAGCCGUUCUCUUGCUUUCCAUCACAGCUCUCUCAUCACAGUCUCGCCCUUCCAUCAUUGGUUGCGCCCUUCCAUCACCGGUCAACGAUUCGAACUUCUUCAAGUGAAAGCUUGAACCAUCACUCUCUCUGUCUUCCUAUUCCCAACCCAACCAUUCCUAUUCCAGACAUUAUCUAAGUAGAUUUUGUAGCAAUUCGGCUUCGAGUGCGUAGGGGAAGAAGUGCCGUCAUCAAGCCGGGAAUACGGAAACAGCUAAAGAAGUAAACAAGAUCAGGAGGAAAUAAUCGAUCGUAGCUUGGAUUGUUGGAACAAGUUUUGUCGUUGAUUAGUCUGAUUUCGUUUUUCAGGUGCAUUGUUGGAGAGGAAGCAAGCAAAGGAGUAUUCAAGCUAAGCAAGCAAGGAAAAGUGUUGAAAAUUUUUAAAAAUUUGCUAAGCUAAGCUAUAAAUUUGGAGUUGAAGUGCUAAAGGACCUUUGUGAGACUUUCUUUACUUAAUCCCUUAGUUCAAUCAUCGGCCCGCGUGAAGGCUUUCUUUUAAUUAUUCUUUACAUCAUUAUUGUUAAAGCAUGGGAGUAUGAAUUAAGUGUAUGUGGAAGAAGUCUAAUUGCAUUACUGUGAAGGCAUAGUGUUUGUCAUUCUUUGUGUUUGUUGUGUUUUGCAUUGUGCAUUCAUGGACGUCGUUCAUUGAGACCAACUCUUGUCCCUCUUGAUUUGCAUUUGGAAUGUAUCGUUAGAAAUCCUAGGGGAAGAGGAAGUUCAAAUAGAUCCAAUCUAUCAAUGAUGACCAUAAUAAUGAUCAUGUUGAGGACCUUGGUCAUAUAAACCAACAAGGUAUCCUUCAUCCCAAUGUGCACAAUGAGAACAUACAAGUAUCAUUAGGCAUGCCUAGGCCAUUCAUUCACCAACCACCAUAACAACAAGGCCAAGCUCCAUAUGGAAUGCCAAGGCCAAUGUAUGCUCCACAACCUUCUAUCAUCAAUCAAGGAAUUCAAAACCAAGGUGUUCAUGUUGCACUUCAAGUAGCUAAUCCACCUCUUGCUUUAAGAGACCAUUCUGUGCCUAACGAGUAUAAUGCACUGUGAUACCCCUCGGAUCCGAGACACGAGUCGAUCAGGCCCAGGCCCAAACCUGAGGGAAUAUCUAAUAAUUAAUAUUUUAUAAUGAACACGGAAUACAAAAUGAAUUAAGAAAUGAAAUUAAAGCUGAAAGGAACUAAAAAUAGAAUCUGCAAAAUAUUAUAAUUAUUAAAAUCCAUCAAACCCAAACUCCAAAACUCCAUCAGUUUACAACUCGGGAAUCCAUCUCUAGUGGACCCCUAUUAAACAUCCAGACUGAAAUAAAACAACUGUAAUAAACAUCCAGAAAAACUAUGGGAAGAAUCCUACAUCGUCAGAAGAGUGAAUAGAGACCUCUGCUUAGCACGAACACAUCUAAGCCUGGAACUGUCGUGUACCUGAAAAAAUAGAAGUGGGUCAGGCCCACGCGCAAGUUCUAUACUACUAUAAUCCAAACAGAGGCCGAUACGCAUGUACAUCCUAAACAAUUCAACAAUAGCUAAUAGUCCGUAAAUAUAUAUAUAGUCACACUAAAGGACUCUCACUAGACUACAGGCCGGUCUUAACUUGAAUAGAGGCAACAUGCUAAAAUGCACACGAAGUGGGCAUGUGUACCUAAACCUAAACAGGGUACACCUCUAACCAUCGUAUCUAGCUAUGCAUCCCAACGCAUAUACGCUCCCUAACCGUCGAUCCUGAGACUCAAGCUCAUAUCGAGGUACCACAACAAUAUAUUUAAAGUCCCUCCUGAACCCUAGUAGUGCCGCUCAACUAGUCGUUGCUAUGACACUACAAUUAAUAGGACUUAAAUUUAGUUAAUUCAUUUCAUAAUCCAGAGUGGGUAGGUUUUGGUAUUUUGAAACCAAACCGUCCCUAGUAUACCACCGUCCCAUACCGGUGUAUACUAUCCAAUCAUCCAGCAGUUGAUAACAUCAACAAUUAAAAUAAACAUCCGCUAAAUCCAUAUUUCCAUUACUGAUACUAACAGGCAUAGUGUAAGCAUCAAUAACCAUAGUCACAGUAUAAAUAUAAACCUACUCAGUUUAGGUUGUAUCAUAAAAUCUGGUACAGUGAUAGGAUUAUUUCAAACUGUCAUCCAACACUUAGCAGUUGAUACUACAGCCAUUUAGAAUAACCAUCAACAAGUUCAAUUCCUCCAACAGUUGAUACUAGCAGUAAUAGUGCAAGUAUCAAGAUAGAAUUACAGUAUGUAUAUACACAUGCUUAGUUUUUGGUUGUUUCACAAAAUCCAAUUGAUGUUAAAUUUAAAACUUAGUUCCAUUCAACACUAACGCAUCCUACCCAUAUAUAAUUCAAAUACAAGAUCAUGGUAUAUGGUCAAACAUGUUCUAUUACCAUUGUUCAUCUCAGAAAAGGCUAUUGUAGAGAACUAAACACUACAAGUCUAUCAACUCCAAUCACAGUAUAAUUAUUUGUUCAAGUUCUUUAUUGUCCAAGCUAUUCCAAGUGGACAGAUUAAUUAACACUCCUUUUGGAACCUUAACCCAGACAUGAGCCUCUUCUAAACAUUACAUAUUCAGUUUUAACCUCAUCUGAAAAGUUCCAGAACCAUCCACUACAUGAAAAACUAAUUAGAAACGAAGAAAAAAUUGAAAAACUGAGCAAAGAGACGUCUCCAAAAAUUAGAGCCGCCUCCUUUAGACCUUGGAGCUGGCUCCAAUUUCUUGGAGCCGCCUCCACACUAAGGGGAGCCGGCUCCCUCCAAGGGAGAGUCGGCUCCCUCCCUCUCUGCUUCGUCGUUCCCUCCUCCGAUGAACUCUGUAGCCUCUACACCUCACUGUUAUGACUUCCAAACCCUGUAACCUAACCCUAGUGUGUUCCCAGGCCAUGUUUAAGUCCUUAUACCAUUAUUAAUCAUGAAUUUAAAUCAAGAAUUAUGCACACAACUAUCAAGUUUUAACAGUUUAACAACCAUGCAACACAUACUGGUGUGUAUCAAACUUUAGCACGAAUAGAGAAACUUUUUAAGUUACAAUUAAUCCUGGAACAGUUUAGGAAUGCAAAGAACACGAAGCCUAAGGGAGAGAGUAAGGAUAGAACUUGACUUUGAGAUCUUUGUUCAAAAUCUCUACGCCGUCUUCUAAGACCUCCGAUGAAUACAAUUGUUGUAAACCUCCUCUGUUUCUCUCUCUGCUACUUCCACAGACGUGUGUUGGUUUUCUUUUCUUUGUGUUUUUUUUUUUUAUUUGUAUGUAAAACCCUAGGUAGCCUUAUUACGUCUAUUUAUAAGGCUACAUAAAACCUAAAGCUCACUGAAGCCCUAAUGUGAAACCUAAUCGGCCCAUAACACCAUUAAAGUGAAUAAGCAUGUCUGCUACUUACCACCAAUCCUACAGUAACGUGAAUUUAGGAAAACAAGUAACUUUAAUUUAUUUUAAUUACCAAUUAACCAAAAACUAAAUAAAACAAUUAAUAAAGAAUUAAAAAACACAAUUAAGUAAAUAAAAUUAAACGAAGUAAAACAAUAUAAAUAAUUAAAGUCAAUAAACAGGUCAACCAAACAACUAAUUACAAUUAAACCAAUUAAAACAUUAAAUAAAACAAUUAAUCAAAAUACCGAGACUAUCCUUUUAAAAAUUAGGGGUAUUACAUUCUUCCCCCUUAACAAAAGGAAUUCCAUCCUCGGAAUUCGCUCUUACCUUCUUCCAAAAUUUCAAGAAACUGCGAGCGAAUGACAUCCUCCCGUUCCCAAGUAGACUCAGCGUCAUUGUGAUGACUCCACUGGACACGAACCAAAGGAAUAACCUUAUUACGAAGGAUCUCAUCCCGAUGAUCUACAAUACGAUAUGGUGGUUCCAAAUAAGUUGCAUCCGGCUGCAACUCAAUCUCCCCAACAUCGAUAUGCUGAUACCGAUCCUCAUCUCGCAGAAAUUUUCGCAACAUGGAAACAUGAAACACGUUGUGGACGCGAUCCAAAGUAUCCGGAAGUGCCAAUCGAUAAGCAACGGCUCCAAUGCGAUCCGUAAUCAUGAAUGGACCGACAAAUCGCAGUGACAACUUCUUUUUCUUCCUAAAGCGCAUAACACCCUUCAUAGGAGACACUUUGAGUAGAACCUGAUCCCCAACCUGAAACUCCAAUGCCCAAGUAUGACGAUCAGUAUAGCUCUUCUGCCUACUUUGGGUAGUACGCAUGCGAUCUCAAAUAAGAGCUAUCUUCUUAAAAGUAUCCUUGAUGAACUCAGGACCCAAGAAUCUGCUCUCACCAACCUCCAUCCAACAAACAGGCAAUCGACAGGGUCGGCCGUAUAACGCCUCAAAUGGUGCCAUCCCAACAGUCUUCUGAAAACUAUUGUUAUAAGCAAACUCCACAAGCGGUAAGUAAUCCUCCCAGUGGCCCUUGAAAUCAAGAACACACGACCGAAGCAUAUCCUCCAUAAUCUAAUUCACCCGCUCAGUCUGUCCGUCAGUCUGAGGAUGAUAAGCAGUGCUAAGAUGCAACUCUAUACCCAACGCCUGCUGAAAACUCUUCCAGAAUCCUGACACAAAGCUCGAAUCCCUGUUCAAUAUGAUAGACAACGGAAUGCCAUGCAACUUCACAAUCUCUGAGAUGUAAAGCCUUGCCAACUGCUCCGAAGUGAAAUCAAUUCAAGUAGGCAAGAAAUGGGCUAACUUAGUCAACCUAUCCACAAUAACCCAUAUGGAAUUAUGCCCUUUGAAAGAAUUAGGCAGUCCUUCCACAAAAUCCAUAGAUAUGCUCUCCCAUUUCCACUCCGGAAUCGGUAGUGGCUGUAGAGCACCUGGCGGCCUCUGAUGAUUAAUCUUAACCAUCUAACAAGUACUACACUAAGAAACAAAAAGAGCAAUUUCCCUUUUCAUACCUACCCACCAAAACUGCCGUUUCAUAUCUUGAUGCAUCUUGUCACCUCCUGGAUGAACAGAAAACUCAGAAUGGUGAGUCUCAGUCAUCACAUCCUUCCUCAAAUCAUUAGCAGAAGGUACCACUAACUAUCCCUUGUACCUCAAACCUCCGUCAGCCCCAACAUAGUAAAAUGGAACCUCUCCAGAAGCUAUCUCUGCAACCUUGUCAAUGCACUGCUGAUCCGUGAGUUGUGCUUGUAAAACAUUGCGAAUGAAGGAAGGUGUAACCACCAUGCAAGCCAUAAAAGCAUCCGAUAACUCAUCCAUAUCCUUCAAAGCAUUCCACUCAGUGGUGAAUAAAGCAGAAAGACUACCAACAGGUCGGCGACUGAGUGCAUCCGCCACCAUAUUCGCUUUCCCUAGAUGAUACUAUAUAGAAAAGUGAUAGUCUUUCACAAAUUCCAACCACCUGCAUUGUCUCAUAUUCAGCUCCCGCUGAGUGAACAAGUACUGCAGACUCUUGUGAUCACUAAAUAAUCUGAAGGACUCACCCAAUAGAUAAUGCCUCCAAAUAUGUAAGGCAAAAACCACUGCUGUCAACUCCAAAUCAUGUGUUGGAUAAUUAAGCUCAUGAGGCUUAAGUUUCCGAGAUCCAUAAGAAAUCGGUCGCUCCUCCUGCAUCAAAACACAUCCAAGACCCUGCAACGAAGCAUCCGUGUAGACAAGAUACUCUAUCCCACUCUGUGGAGUAGCCAGAAUCGGUGCAGAAGUCAACUUCCUUUUCAGCUCAUCAAAAGCUCGCUGACAGUGUUCAUCCCACACGAACUGUACACCCUUCUUGGUCAGAUGAGUGAGUGGUUCUACUAUCUUGGAGAACCCCUAGAUGAACUGACGAUAAUAUCCUGCCAAAUCGAGAAAACUCCGAAUCUCGAUAGGUGAAGUUGGUUGACCCCACUUUAUCACAGCUGAAACCUUAGCUGGAUCAACCGCUAUCCCCCCUUCUGACACCACGUGACCCAGAAACUUCACUUCCCGUUGCCAAAAUUCACACUUCUCGAACUUGGCAUAUAACUGGUGCUCACGAAGCGUCUGCAAGACUAUGCGAAGAUGUCUAGCAUGAUCGUCCUCCGACAGAGAAUAGAUCAAGAUGUCAUCAAUAAAGACAAUAACAAAUUGAUCCAAAUAAGCCCAGAAGACUCUGUUCAUUAAGUCCAUGAACACUGCAGGUGCAUUAGUCGUCCCAAACGGCAUAAUACGAAACUCAUAAGAACCAUACCUCGUGAGAAACGCUGUCUUAGGAACAUCCUGCUCCCUGACCCUCAGCUGAUGAUACCCAGAACGCAGAUCAAUCUUGGAGAAGUAUGUGGCUCCCCUUAAUUGAUCAAAUAAGUCAUCAAUCUUGGGCAAAGGAUACUUGUUACGAAUCGUAACCUUGUUCAACUCCCUGUAAUCUAUACAUAAGCGAAGUGAACCAUUUUUCUUCUUCACAAAUAACACUGGUGCUCCCCAGGGUGAAGUACUCCUGCGAAUGAAACCCUGGCUAAGUAGCUGCUGAAUCUGAUCCCUCAGCUCGCGCAUCUCCACCGGUGCCAUCCUAUAAGGUGCCCUAGCAAUAGGCGCAGUGCCUGGAGCUAAAUCUAUCACGAAAUCGAUCUCGUAACUAGGUUACAACCCUGUAAUCUCCUAAAAAACAUCUGGAAAAUUCUGUACAUCGGUAUGUGAUCCAAUGACACAGUAAUCCCCUCCUCCUUUUCCUUCUCCACAUGGAACAAAUAGGUGCUACCGCCCCCUUUAGAAUGUGGCAUAGCUACUACAUACAUAUCCUGACCAGGUACGGUAAAUACAAUAGACCUAUCAAAAUAAUAAACUUGGACAUGGUAGUGAGACAACCAAUCCAUCCCAAGUAUCACAUCAUAAGUGUGCAUGUGCAGGACCAAUAGGUUGGUUAGAAAUCUGAGUCUGCCAAUAUCUAGUGUCACAGGCCCAUCACUCUCAUGUAUAAUAGCUGUAUCGCCCAAUGGUGUAGGAAUACCCUGAGGUCUAGUGCAUACCUUCGUCCUCAUCCCAGAUAAAACACCAAAAGUCCUAGCUACAAAUGAGUGUGUAGCACCCGUAUCAAAUAAAACACGUCCAUGAGAACUAUGUAUAGGAAACUUACCCUCAACAGCCUGAGGUGCCUGCAUAUCCUGUGGCUUAAGGUUGUACACCUUGCUAUAAUGUAAUUGCUACGGUGCCUGUCCCUGAGGUUGCGGCGGUGCCGGUAAUGCCAGAUAAGUCUAUCCCUGAAUCCGAAGAACCUGUAGAGUUGGAAGAGGCAUUGGCGCCCUCUGCCCCUGUUGCACAUGCUGUCCCUGUCCCUGUCUCUGUCCCUGUCUUAUUGUAGGACACUGCUUAGAAGUGUGACCGUACUCUCCACAAGUAUAACAACUACCCUGGAAAGUACCAAAUGGCCUCCUCUAUCGGUUAGCCGGUGGCUGACCCUGUCCUACCUGCGGUCCCCCAUUCUGUUGACGCUGAAUAGGUGCUACAUCCUUGGGAGCAUCUGAACCACCCUUGUGCUUCUUCCAAGGCUGCUGUCCCUGGAAUAUGCCCUUGUCAUUCUAUCGGUGUCCGUUCCCAUUCCCUUUCUUAGCUGACUGGUUAGCAGAGUCUCUGUCACCCCGCUUCUCACCCUUGGCCUGUAUAAUGUCCACGGUCAACUAAUACUACUGUAGAGCGGCGUCUACCACCUGAGCAUAGGUAGUAUAGGCUGGACUACCUGUAAUAGCUCUCUUGAUAGACCACAUCAGUCCCUUGACAAAAUUGUUAUGCUUCUUCUCUUCUGGUGCAAAGAGAGACAAGCGUGUGAACUGCUGCUCAUACUCCGCCACUGUCAUAUUCCCCUGCUGUAGAUUUAGAAACUCAGUCUUCAUAGCUACCCUGACUGCAUAAGGAAAGUACUUUUCAUCAAAGCGUGCACUGAACUGAUCGUAAGUCAAUGCCAUCCUCUCCUCUGCGGUGGUAACUGACUCCCACCACUGUAGUGUAUCCCCAACUAGCUUGAAUGUAGCAAGCAUCUGCUUUUAAACCUCCGUGCACUGAACCAAGCGAAGAUGUCGCUCGAUGUCCUAUUUUCACUGGUGAGCUGCUCUGGCAUCAGUGGAGCCUGUGAACUCAGGUGGGCUCCCCUUUAUGAAAGAACUCCUGGCCUUCUCCCAAGUAUCAGUCUGAACAACUGGUGCUGGUAGCGGUGCCGGCUGUACCUGAGGCUGAUUCCGAAGUGCAGCUGUUACCCCAGCUUCUAUAGCCCGAGCAACGAGCUCAUUGAGGUGAGGAAGAAUCUCUGGAUCUCUGACUUGGUCCAGAGUCUGCUAAACAUUCUCCUGUUCCUCCUGAAACUGACCCAUGUCUUCUUGAAACCCAAGCCUUUGCUGCUCUUCCUCCAUUUGCUGACGCCGUAGGAGAUAUUGAUGCCUACAUGCCGCUCUCCUUUCCUUCCUAGUUCCUUGCAUUUUCUGUCCGUUUCUAACGUUAACCAUUUGUUAACACGAAAAGACAGACGUCAAUACCAUUUCUAUAUGAACCGUAAGGAAUACAAUGAAUCCUAACUUAAGCUCUACUUAAGAGAAAAUGCUACGCGGAAGUCUUAUAUGAUAGAAUCCUAGAGACACUUGAACCUGGAGUGCUCUGAUACCAAUUGUGAUACCCCUCGAAUCCGAGACACGGGUUGAUCAGGCCCAGACCCAAACCUGAGGGAAUAUCUAACAAUUAAUAUUUUAUAAUGAAUACGGAAUACAAAAUAAAUUAAGAAAUGAAAUCAAAGCUGAAAGGAACUAAAAAUAGAAUCUGCAAAAUAUUAUAAUUAUUAAAAUCUAUCAAACCCAAACUCCAAAACUCCAUCAGUUUUCAACUCAGGAAUCCAUCUCUAGUGGACCCCUGUUAAACAUCCAGACUGAAAUAAAACAACUGUAAUAAACAUCCAGAAAAACUAUGGGAAGAAUCUUAUAUCGUCAGAAGAGUGAAUAGAGACCUCUGCUCAGCAUGAACACGUCUAAGCCUGGAACUGUCGUAUACCUGAAAAAAUAGAAGUGAGUCAGGCCCACGCGCAAGUUCUAUACUACUACAAUCCAAACAGAGGCCCGAUACGCAUGUACAUCCUAAACAAUUCAACAAUAGCUAAUAGUCCGUAAAUAUAUAUGUAGUCACACUAAAGGACUCUCACUGGACUACAGGCCGGUCUCAACCUGAAUAGAGGCAACAUGCUAAAACGCACACGAAGUGGGCAUGUGUACCUAAACCUAAACAGGGUACACCUCUAACCAUCGUAUCCAGCUAUGCAUCCCAAUGCAUAUACGCUCCCUAACCGUCGAUCCUGAGACUCAAUCUCAUAUUGAGGUACCAUAACAAUAUAUUUAAAGUCCCUCCUGAACCCUAGUAGUGCCGCUCAACUAGUCGUUUCUAUGACACUACAAUUAAUAGGACUUAACUUUUAGUUAAUCCAUUUCAUAAUCCAGAGUGGGUAGGUUUUGGUAUUUUGAAACCAAACCGUCCCUAGUAUACCACCAUCCCAUACCGGUGUAUACUAUCCAAUCAUCCAGCAGUUGAUAACAUCAACAAUUAAAAUAAACUUCUGCUAAAUCCAUAUUUCCAUUACUGAUACUAACAGGCAUAGUGUAAGCAUCAAUAACCAUAGUCACAAUAUAAAUAUAAACCUACUCAGUUUAGGUUGUAUCAUAAAAUCUGGUACAGUGAUAGGAUUAUUUCAAACUGUCAUCCAACACUUAGCAGUUGAUACUACAGCCAUUUAGAAUAACCAUCAACAAGUUCAAUUCCUCCAACAGUUGAUACUAGCAGUAAUAGUGCAAGUAUAAAGAUAGAAUUACAGUAUGUAUAUACACAUGCUUAGUUUUUGGUUGUUUCACAAAAUCCAAUUGAUGUUAAAUUUAAAACUUAGUUCCAUUCAACACUAACGCGUCCUACCCAUAUAUAAUUCAAAUACAAGAUCAUGGUAUAUGGUGAAACAUGUUCUAAUACCUUUAGACCUUGAAGCCGGCUCUAAUUUCUUGGAGCCGCCUCCACACUAAGGGGAGCCGGCUCCCUCCCUCUCUGCUUCGUCGUUCCUUCCUCCGAUGAACUCUGCAGCCUCUACACAUCACUGUUAUGACUUCCAAACCCUGUAACCUAACCCUAGUGUGUUCCCAGUCCAUGUUUAAGUCCUUAUACCAUUAUUAAUCAUGAAUUUAAAUCAAGAAUUAUGCACACAACUAUCAAGUUUUAACAGUUUAACAACCAUACAACACAUACUGGUGUGUAUCAGACUUUAGCAUGAACAGAGAAACUUUUUAAGUUACAAUUAAUCCUGGAACAGUUUAGGAAUGCAAAGAACACGAAGCCUAAGGGAGAGAGUAAGGAUAGAACUUGCCAUUGAGAUCUUUGUUCAAAAUCUCUACGCCGUCUUCUAAGACCUCCGGCGAACACAAUUGUUGUAAACCUCCUAUGUUUCUCUCUCUGCUACUUCCACAGACGUGUGUUGGUUUUCUUUUCUUUAUGUUUUUUUUAUUUGUAUGUAAAACCCUAGGUAGCCUUAUUACAUCUAUUUAUAAGGCUACACAAAACCUAAAGCUCACUGAAGCCCUAAUGUGAAACCUAAUCGGCCCAUAACACCAUCAAAGUGAAUAAGCAUGUCUGCUACUUACCACCAAUCCUACAGUAACGUGAAUUUAGGAAAACAAGUAACUUUAAUUUAUUUUAAUUACCAAUUAACCAAAAACUAAAUAAAACAAUUAACAAAGAAUUAAAGAACAUAAUUAAGCAAAUAAAAUUAAACUAAGUAAAACAAUUUAAAUAAUUAAAGUCAAUAAACAGUUCUACCAAACAACUAAUUACAAUUAAACCAAUUAAAACAUUAAAUAAAACAAUUAAUGAAAAGAAAACAAUUAAUCAAAAUACCGAGACUAUGCUUUUGAAAAUUAGGGGUAUUACAUGCACCUACCUGCAUCCAAUUGCCUCCAUUUAGAGCACAUCAUUAUGAAAUUAAGCCAAAAACUAUUCAAAUGCUUCCUAAUUAUCAAGGAUUUCCAAGUGAAGAACCUUACAAGUAUUUGGAUGAAUUUCUUGAAGUAUAUUCCACCAUAAAAUAUACGGACAUGCCGGAAGAGGUUUUAAGACUCAAACUUUUUCCAUUCACCUUAAAAGACAAGGCGAAGUAUUGGUUUAACAAUCUUAGGCCUUUUUCAAUCACUUCUUGGGCAAAAAUGCAACAAGAAUUCUUGAAAAAGUACUAUCCGGUUUCUAAGACCAAUGCCAUGAGAACCUUAAUUCGAGAAUUUUCACAUGGGGAUGGAGAAACGUUCCAUGAGGUAUGGGAACGCUUCAAUGAAUUGCUUAGGAACUGUCCACAUCAUGACAUGCCCAAAUGACAAUUAGUUUAAUAUUUCUUUGAAAGCUUAUCAGACAACUAUAAGAGUAUGGUUGAUGCUUCCAUGGGUGGCUCAUACAUUGAUAGGCAUGAGGAUGACGUGUAGCGUCUUUAUGAGAGCAUGAGUGAAAAUUCUUUGCAUAAAACACUAUCAUACAAGAAUAGUAGAAAUUCACAAGGUAGGAAGAGUGUUAGCUUACAUCAAGUUGACCAUUCAAAUGAAAUAGUCGCCGAAAUGAAGUCUUUAUCUCAAAGGUUUGAUCAAUUUUUGAUUAACCAAAACUCGGCGAACCAAGUAUCUUCCUUCCCUAACCAUUCUCAUCGUGCAUCAAAUGAAACAUGUAUGACUUGUUCUAGUGUUCUUCAUUUUACUUCUCAUUGUCCUCACGGACAAGUGCAAAAUGAACCUAAUGAACAAGUCAAUGCAGCUUUUGUGAACCAAGGGAAUAAUCCUUAUGAUACUCACUAUAAUCCAAGUUGGAGGAAUCAUCCGAAUUUCUCUUGGAAAAACUAAGGAGAGGGCUCAAACCCUUCCCAAGGAGGUUUUCAAGGGAAGUACAUUCCACCUCUACUUCAAAACCAAGGAUCCCAAGGUUAUAGACCUUAUCAAUCACAAGGGAAUCAAUUUGCUAAUUCUCAUUUUCCCAACCAAUCUUAUUCCCAAGGAAAUACUCGAAGUCCCGCCUUUGAAGAAAAAGUUUUGAAUGCUUUGGGCACUUUAGAGGCUAACACUUAAUUACUUCAUUCUCACUCUCAAUCUAUUGCGAAGCUAGAAACCCAGGUAGGGCAAAUAACAAGCACACUCAAUGCAAGAGAGAAGGGAAAGAUGCCCAUUAAUGCCCCACCUAAGCAACAAUAUGUUGUGGAAACCCAUUCCUCAUCGGAAGGCCACACCAUUGAAUAUGUUAAUGCGGUGACUACCUUGCGGAGUAGUAGGAUUGUGGACAAUCAAGUAGAAAUGUCCAAUGAAGAGAAUGAACCGGUGCAACCUCAAGUUGUCACCCGUCCCGUUUCACAUCCCAUUCCUCUUUCAUUGCGUGUUCAUGAUCUUAUGAAUGAGAAAUCUUCAAAAUGUGAUUUGAAAAGUGAUUUUGAAAAUGAUACAUUGAAAAAAAUCUUGAAAAAUGUGUUUGAAAAAGAAGUUUUAAAAAAUGAUGUUGAAAAAGUUUUGUUGAAAAAUGAUUUGAAAACUUCUUGUGUUGAAGAGAGUUCAAAAGAAAAUUCUGAAAAAAUGUUUGAACCAAAAGUUCCAUUUCCGGAUGCCUUAAAAGGAUCCAUUUCAAAAGAUAAGCAAAAGGCAAAAACCAAUGAAAUCAUGGAAAUGUUUAGGCAAGUGAAAGUUAAUCUUCCACUAUUGGAUGCAAUCAAGCAAAUUCCGGCUUAUGCCAAAUUCUUGAAAGACUUGUGCACCCAAAAGCGGAAGAACAAGAGCCAAGCACCAAGAAAAGUGGUUUUGACCGAGUAAGUAAGCUCCAUUUUGCAAUAUAACAUUCUUCCAAAGUUUAAGGACCCCGGUUCACCCACUACAUCAUACAUUAUUGGUGAUCAUAUCAUUAAUCGGGCGCUUCUUGACUUAACAGCAAGUGUUAACUUUCUUCCAUACUCAGUUUAUGUCAAAUUGGGCCUAGGUGAAUUGAAACCGACGUCGGUAGUUUUGCAACUUGCCGAUCGAUCCAUUAAGAAGCCUAGGGGUAUAAUUGAGGAUGUUUUGAUUAAGAUUGAUAAAUUCUUCUUCCCGGUUGAUUUCAUUGUCAUCGACACGGAACUGGUCCCCAAUCCUAAGAGCCAAAUUCCCGUUAUCCUUGGCCGUCCUUUCUUGGCAACCGCUAAUGCGAACAUCAAUUGUAGGACGAGGAUAAUGAAGAUCUCAUUUGGCCACAUGAAGGUGAAGUUGAAUAUCUUUAAUCCCAUACCCAAUUCAUUUGACAAAUAUGAAUGAGAGGUUAAUGUUGUAGAUAAAUGUCAUGAUCUUCAAUGUCAAGGAAAUGAGCUUUUGUGUAAGACCAAAACUUCCAAAGGAUCAUCUUCAACCUUGCAUUCUCAAAAUCUUGUUUCAAAUUCUUGCUUUGAAAGGGCAUGGAAGCCUAAAGGUUGUGAUUGCAUAGACAAGGGACCAAAAGUUUCUUUUGAGCUUAAUCCAACAAGUUCUUCAAAGAACCAUUUAUUGGGUGGAGUUCAAAGUAUCUAUCACCCCAACAAGGACGGGAUGCAUUAUAAGAUCUUUGAUCCGGGCUAAAAGAGCCCAAUGUCUUACUAGAGACGUUAAAGACUAGCAAAGACAUUUCGUAGGGUGUCAAAACCCUACUCCUCCCUCAUUUCUAUUUUAAAUUUCAUUUCUUGCGAAGUCUAGAUACUUGUUUUUGGUUCUCAUAUGCAUUGAAAGGAACUUUGGUGAGGAUUGCAUGAGCUUUCAUGUCAUUAUUGAGCAUUCUACAUAGUUCGAUCGAUCUCAAACCUAAGUUUGAUCGAUCGAACUCCAUUUUGCAUCCAACACUUAGAAAAAUUUUCGACCUGUAGAAACCUGCAUCCAAAUCACCUCUCUAUCUCAUUGUUCGGACUAACUCUUAGAUCGAUCAAGAGACCUUCGAUCAAUCCAACUUCCAAGUUCGAUCGAUCUCAUAAUUCAACACUUAGAAAAAUUUAAGCCUACAUCAACCUGUAUAUUUCACCUCUCUGUCUCAUCGAUCGAAACAUUCCAAGAUCGAUCAAGAAGUUCUUCGAUCAAUCCAACUUUCAAGUUCGAUCGAUCUUCAAGUUCCAACACUUAGCCAAUUUUCUGAACCAAAAACCUGCAUAUUUUUGCUCUCUGUCUGAUCGAUCGAACUCUUGUUUCGAUCGAUCUCAGUUAUUCAUUUCAUUAUUUUGACUUUGUUUUGACUUUUCAAAUUUUUUUUUUUUAAAAAAAAAACACCAAAAAUAUUUUAUUUUAUUUUAUUUUACAAUUUUUAAUUUUAAUUCCAAUUUUUAAUUUUAAUUUUGCAAUUUUCAAAAAUUUCAAAAAUCCAAAAAUACUUUAAAGAGAGUUCAUCACAGUUCGAUCGAUCGAUCGAACUAUGCCGGGAAUGUUUUUAAAAAUAAAACCGAGGGUUUUCUAGAUCGAUACCUUAGAUCAAUCUCACCCUCUCUACAAACCCUAACCCCCUUCUCCGUCACCAUUUUGCCAUCACCUCUACCACCUCCGGUGAACUUUCCGGCGAGCAUUUAAGCAUCAAUCUCUCUCUCCCUUCUUGGAUUCAUCUUCACUCUUCCACAUCUCCACUUCUCUCAUCGUUUGAGGUAAGAUCCGAGAAUGUCCCUCAUGAUUUAACCCUCAAUCUUGUGCAUACAUGCUUUAUAUGUUGAAUACAUACUAUAUACAUGACAAAAUCCUCCAUUGUUGAAGCUUGAAACAUUUGUGUCUAUAUAUAUAUAUAUAUAUGUAUAUAUGUGUGUAUAUUUUUGAUGAUUUGAUUCGAUUUGGGAGUAUGGGCUUUAAACAGUGGCUAAGAUUGAUUAAUUUGUUGUAUUGCUGGGCCUACAAACACGUUCGUGUAGGCACCGUGCUUCCAAAGUCACAGAUCAGUGACCUUUGAGUUUUCAUUGUCGCACAGUUCGAUCGAUCGAACUUGUAUCUCAGAUCGAGCUUGAGAGAUCGAUCAAACUCAUGUCCCCGAUCGAUCGAAGUUGUGAGAUCGUUCUCACUUAUUUUCGAUUGAUCCAACUUUUGUGAUCGAUCUCACUCCUUUUUAUGAUCGAUCAAACUUCACAGAUCUCACACAUACACUUUAUUCAUCAUAUCUUAUGUUCAUGCUAUCUCAUAUAUGCCCAAUGCCUGUGAUAUUCCAUAUUGGAUGCAUUUCAUACUUACAUUGUUUAGCAUGUUUCAUAUCCUGCCACUUGCAUAGAUUCAUGUCAUAUCUGUUUUGUCUAUUUUUUUUAUUUAACAUAUAUGUUUCUAUAUUAUGCUUAAACUUUCUUACUCUGGUACUAACUCCCAUUGCAAGUUUUUCUUUUUCUUUUUGCAGGCCAUGGUUAAGAGGAAGACCGUUGCUAACAGGCAACACGGGCCCCACCGACACAUUAGACCACGGACAGAGAAGCCAGCAGAGCCCUCUUAUGCACAGGAGGAGCCAGCACAGGCUAUCCCACCUCAGUCACCAUCUCAUGAGGCUGAGGAUGACCACAUACCAUCCACCUCUACGGCUCAUCCUGCAUUCACUCUAUUACCAUCUCCACUGCAUACUAAAGCUGAGCAUUCACCUCAGCCUGCUCAUUCACCUCAGCCAUCUCAUCUGGAGCGUGAUAGGCCUGCGCCUCGAUAUGCGCAUAUGACGGUCGACCAUGAGUCAGUGUUCGACACGGCCUUUUUCUAUAGAUCGGUGCUGACCCGAUCCGCUUACCAUGACAUCAUUCAGAGGGGUCUGGCCGCUAUUCUUACCCUCGUCACAGAGCCAGUCUACCCGCGGCUGGUACGGUUGUUUUACUAGAACCUUUGACCAUUGCCGCGUACCACAGCAGAGCUAGUCACUUCUAUAGAUGGACAUCCGAUCACCAUCACAGUGGACUCACUAGCCCGCUCUUGCUGCUGUCUACACAGAUGUCCUCCAGAGCUUCAGGAGACAUAUCCGAGGCUAUACAGGCCUUCAUACGCCGACAUAGCAGUCUUUCUUACAAGUCAUCAUACCAGUGGCGAAACCUUCGCCACUUGGACAUUCCUUCCAGAUGACCUUUGGUUCACCAAUUUUGUGCUUUUCUGGAAUAUAUACAUGGCAGGGCAUAAGAUUCAGAGGAGGGGCGAUUAUUUGACAACCCUCUACGCCUUCUACACCAGGCAUUGGGUGUCCAUUCCUGCGCUCAUCUGGAGCGUGAUGAGGAAGCUAUAUGACGAGUACAUCAGCAAGGAGACGCCCUGACGGGCUAAGUCUCUUCCAUUCAGCCACCUCAUCACCCAGAUUUUAAUAGAUCAGCGUUACCCUAUUCACCCUCAGGAGCUGUGAUACCCCUCGGAUCCGAGACACGGGUUGAUCAGGCCCAGGCCCAAACCCGAGGGAAUAUCAAACAAUUAAUAUUUUAUAAUAAACACGAAAUACAAAAUAAAUUAAGAAAUGAAAUUAAAGCUGGAAGGAACUAAAAAUAGAAUCCGCAAAAUAUUAUAAUUAUUAAAAUCCAUCAAGCCCAAACUCCAAAACUCCAUCAGUUUACAACUUGGGAAUCCAUCUCUAGUGGACCCCUAUUAAACAUCCAAACGGAAGAUAGAACAAUUGUAAUAAACGUCCAGAAAUAAAACUAUAGAGAGAGCCCUACAUCGUCGGAAGAGUGAAUAGAGACCUCUGCUCAGCACGAACACGUCUAAGCUUGGAACUGUCGUGUACCUGAAAAAUAUAAGUGGGUCAGGCCCACGCGCAAGCUCUAUACUACUACAAUCCAAACAGAGGUCCGAUACGCAUGUACAUCCUAAACAAUUUAACAAUAGUUAAUAGUCCGUAAAUAUAUAUAUAGUCACACUAAAGGACUCUCACUGGACUACAGGCCGGUCUCAACCUGAAUAGAGGUAACAUGCUAAAACGCACACGAAGUGGGCAUAUGUACCUAUACUUAAACAUGGUACACCUCCAACCAUCGUAGCCAGCUACACAUCCCGAUGCAUAUACGCUCUCUAGCCAUCGGUCCUGAGGCUCAAGCUCAUACCGAGGCACCAUAACAGUACAUAUAUAAAAUCCAUCCAAAAUCCCUGGUAUUGCCGCUCAACAAGUAGUUGCCAUGACAAUACAAAUCCACGGGACUUAACUUUUAGUUAAUCCCAUCCUUAUUCCAAGUAGGUGGGUAAUGGUAUUAUUUUAAAAACCAAACCCAUCCUUAGUAUGUCACCGUCCCAUACCGGUGCCUACUUUCCAAUCCUCCAGUAGUCAAUAAUACCAAUAAAUCAAGUAUAUAUCAACUAAAUUCCAACAUCCGACAUUCAAUGUUAGCAAUGAUAAAAUAAGCAUUGAUAAACAGGGUCACAACAACAACAUAUACAUGCCCAAUUUAAGUUGUUCCCUAUAGUCUGAUAUAAAGACAGAAUUAAUUAAAACUUCCAUUUAACACCUUACAAAUGACAUACAGAUAUGUAGGGUAUGUAUCACAAAAUCCUAACCUCCAUAGUUGAUACUAACUGUGAUAAUAUAAGCAUCAAAACAAUAUUCACAGUAUGUAUGUAGACAUGCUCAAAUUAUAGUGCUCCACAAAACCGAUCUAGUGUUAAACUCAAAUCCUCCUAGUAUUUAAGUUCCAACAGUUGUUAUUAUAGAAGUUAAGAUAGCUAUCAUCUAGACCCAUCCUUCCAAUAAUUUAUACUAGCAGUGGUAAGGAAAAACGUGAACCAAAGAACCAUAAUGCAUCCACAAACAUGCUUAGUCUAGGUUGAACAAGCAUACAACACUACUGUAACUACCAGUUUCAUAGCAAAACAUAUAUCAUUUUAGUUUGGUUUAAUCUUCAUUAAUCCUGAAAUCAUUUAAGAGUGUAAAGAGUAUGAAGCCUAAGGGAAAGAGUAAGGAUAGAAUCUUGCCUCAGAAACUUUUGUUCAAAGUUUCAACGUCGUCUUCUUAAAAAAUCCCGGCGAGUUCCAAAACCUGGUUACUGUUCACGGGUAUGAAACACUAUUCCCGAACUCAAAAUCUGAUCUCCACCGUUCAGAUUGUGCGACACUGAGUCAUGAACCUAUUCUCCAAAUUUCAGCUCGAUCGGACCACGGACGAAGCAGGAUUGGAUGUUUGAUGAAAUCUGGGCAGAAUGGAAAAAAAAACCUGUGCGACCCAGUUACUGUUCACGAGUACGAAUUACUGUUACCGAGGUCAAACUCUGAUCUCCACUAUUCAGAUUGUGCAUCACUGAGUCAUGAACCUCUCUUCCAAAAUUCAGCUCGAUCGGACCACGGACGAAGCGGGAUCGGAUGUUUGAUGAAAUCUGGGUAGAAUGGAAAAAACCUGUGUGACCUAGUUACUGUUCACGAGUUCGAAUCACUAUUCCCGAGGUCAAACUCUGAUCUCCACCGUUCAGAUUGUGCGUCACUAAGUCAUGAACCUCUCCUCCAAAAUUCAGCUCGAUCGUACCACGGACGAAGCAGGAUCGGAGCUUUGAUCAAACCUUGGCAGAAUGUGAAAAACUGCAUUUUUCCUUUUCCACUUCCACAAAACGUGUGCUUUGUUUAAAAAACCCUACGCAGACGUCUACCUUAUACUUAUAGAGUUUUCCUAAACCCUAGGUUCAUUUAAGUCCAACUCACAAUCCUAACCGGCCCAUCCAUUAACGUAGAAACCUACGAUGGCUAUAAUAUAAAACCCUAAUUUAUACUGUAAUUAAAACCCUAGUUAGAUGUAUUUACCUAAAUACCCUAUUCACCAUUAAAUACUUAACAAAUAAUCUAAUUGAACAAAAUAAUAAUUAGUAAACCCAAUUAAACCAAAUAAGACACAUAUAAAAUAAGACACACAUAGAAUAAUUAAACCAAUUACACUUAAACCAUUAAUGCCAAUUAAAUAAUUAAAACACUAACAAGUAAUUCCAAUCAAAUAACUAAACCAAUUACACUUAAACCAUUAAUGCCAAUUAAAUAAUUAAAACACUAACAAGUAAUUCCAAUCAAAUAACUAAAUCAAUUACACUUAAACCAUUAAUGCCAAUUAAAUAAUUAAAAUACUAACAAGUAAUUUCAAUCAAAUAACUAAAAAUAAAUAUCAUUUAAAUAAAUUAAAUCACCACAAAAGAAAACAAUUAAGCACCUAAUAAAAAAAUAUAAUGACACAUAAUCAAAUAAAAUGCACUUAAAUAAUAAAUUAAAUACCAUUAAAUACCAGGAAUAUCCUUUUUAAAAUUAGGGGUAUUACAGGAGCACCCCAAGAGAGGUUCCUGUCACUUCCUAAAGAAGGACUGGGACAAGAGCUACCGAUCCAUUAUUACCAGACUGUAGGACCACGCGAUAGUGGCUGCAGCGAAGUUAGAGGAGGAGGAGGCAUAGGCAGCAGCAGCAGAUCCCGCAGCGGAUGACACACCAGUUGAUCCAGCUGCAGAUCAUAUAGAUAUUGACUUAGAGCGCCGUGCAGACGACGCAGAGCAGUACUCUCCAGCCAGGUCGCCCAUUCACGAGCAGGAGCAAACUCAGGAGCUUUCUUCUGAUUCAUCUAUGCCUAAGGUGCCAGAUCUGACCCCUAGCUUUGGAGUACAUCUGCAGAUGCUUGAGGAUGCUGUUGUUGCCAUACGAGCUGAUCUUACAGCCCACAGAGCUGAUUUUAUUGCCUUCUGCACGGAUGUCGCGACUAUGUUCCGAGAUCUAUCCAGAGAUAUCCAUGGAGCCCGACCAGCCCAUCCUACCUCAUCCUCCUGAGUUCCCAGUUCCUUCUAUCUCAUGAUCCCUCUCUCCUAUUGAUACUUUACUUUUGUCACUGUACAUUAUUAUUUUUUACAACCGGUCUGUCGGCUUUGAUAUUUUUGUUAUACCUGCACUUUAUCUAUUUUAUAUAUAUCUGUUUUUGCUAUGGAUGACAUAUGAUUAUAUUCUCAUAUCUAUAUGUUUGAAUCCAUCAGGUGCAUCAUAGUGACUUCAGUGAGAGAGUGUUACCCAAUUUUCAGGACCACAGUUAAUCCCAAGUUUGGGGGGCCAUACCACCCACUUUGGAUACUUCAGUCCCGAUCAUUCUUGCUUAGUUGCACUGGUAUACUCUUUCCUUUAUUCUCUUGCACAUUAAGGACAUUGUGCCAUUUAAGUUUGGGGGGAAUGGUGCUUUACAGUGUUAGUUAGUACUAAAUUCAAAAAUUUUGAGCAUGACUUGUGUAAUUGAGGGAUAUUGAUCUUUUGAGGACUAUAUUGCUUAAAAUUUAAAAAUUACUUGACUUGAGAGUCCAAUACUCCUUGUAUACCUUGUGGAUGCCAUUUAUGAGUAAAUUUUUCAAAAGAUUGAUAUCUUGCUUGCACUUGUGGUCCACAUCAUUUUGAUUUUGUGAUUACUUUGAGAUUCAUUCUAGGAUUCUACACUAACACAGGCGCACACUGGCAUUCAUUUAUGGGGUACAUGCUUUGUUGAUUAUUGAAUUAGUUAUAUCCCAAUUCGGCUAGUAGUGCAUUGAAAGUUUUCAUUCUUAAUAAAGGUAGAUAACAACCCCUUUUCACUAAGUAGCCGGGAUUCUAGCCUCAUCAAGCACUGAACUUCUCGCGCUGAAAGGUGGAGGGCCCAAACUCUAGGUUAAUAAUUUAAUUAAAAAAAAAAGUUGCAAAAGCAAUAAAAAAAUGAGGGCUUCUUCCAAAAGGUGAGAAGUGGGAAAUGAUUAGAUGGAGGUUGUCUUAAUUUGUAGCCUAGUUGAUUUGAGCUUGUAAGUCCGUAAGGGUAUUUGAACGCCUAAUGCCCUAAAGCCGUCUGGUUUGGGAGUCAUUGACCUAACGCUCGACCUCAUGAAUCGCUGGAAAGCUUAAUAGAUCAACACAUUGCACCAUGUUUCUAUCUUUGAUCCUAUAAAAAUAAAAAAUAAAAUAU
This is a long non-coding RNA of Cornus florida, 27973 nucleotides long. RefSeq lists it as uncharacterized. The record is from RefSeq and is a predicted model, not a curated record. NCBI's taxonomy places the organism in Eukaryota, Viridiplantae, Streptophyta, Magnoliopsida, Cornales, Cornaceae. The transcript is spliced from 10 exons.